AUUGAACGCUGGCGGCAUGCCUUACACAUGCAAGUCGAACGGCAGCACGGGAGCAAUCCUGGUGGCGAGUGGCGAACGGGUGGGUAAAGUAUCGGAACGUGCCCAGUCGUGGGGGAUAACGUAGCGAAAGUUACGCUAAUACCGCAUACGAUCUAUGGAUGAAAGCGGGGGAUCGCAAGACCUCGCGCGAUUGGAGCGGCCGAUAUCAGAUUAGGUAGUUGGUGGGGUAAAGGCUCACCAAGCCGACGAUCUGUAGCUGGUCUGAGAGGACGACCAGCCACACUGGGACUGAGACACGGCCCAGACUCCUACGGGAGGCAGCAGUGGGGAAUUUUGGACAAUGGGCGAAAGCCUGAUUCAGCCAUGCCGCGUGCAGGAUGAAGGCCUUCGGGUUGUAAACUGCUUUUGUACGGAACGAAAAGGUUUGGCCUAAUAAGCUGAGCUCAUGACGGUACCGUAAGGAUAAGCACCGGCUAACUACGUGCCAGCCGCCGCGGUAA
Molecule: ribosomal RNA, 500 nt
Filed under: uncultured bacterium
Lineage: Bacteria
Description: partial 16S ribosomal RNA
Rfam family: Bacterial small subunit ribosomal RNA
Source: RNAcentral